This is a long non-coding RNA of Brassica rapa (field mustard), 1742 nucleotides long. RefSeq lists it as uncharacterized. The record is from RefSeq and is a predicted model, not a curated record. NCBI's taxonomy places the organism in Eukaryota, Viridiplantae, Streptophyta, Magnoliopsida, Brassicales, Brassicaceae.
GGUCUAUUAUGUUUGCAGAGUUCCAUGUGCUUGAUCCAAAGUUCAACAUAGUCUCACCGGAGCAGACAUGACUAUCUGUUUCCCUUUUACUGAUGAAACCAAGAGACUUACAGCUUUACAUGGUUCCAUAGAAGAGAUGCUCUAUAACCCUUAGCAAACUAAUGAGCAUGUGUAAGUGUUGACUUACUUUUGUUUGGUUUUGAGAACUCAUACUAACUUCUUUUUUGUCAAAAAAGUAGUUUUGGUGGGUUUGUUUAUUUCAAUGGUACAUUGAGCUAUAUGUCGAAGCCAAUACUCUUCUCUAUGGCGAGGCUGGACAAAGUGAAGAACAUCUCGAGUUCAGAUUUUUUUUUGAUUAAUGUACAUCUCAGGUUGGGGCCAAGGAUCAGCAGAUAAUUCAAGCUAUCUAGAAGGCCGACGGCGGCCAAACUAUUUACAAAACAAUUUGGAGGAGAGGCGAAAGGGAAAAGGACAUUGCUUCCUUGUAUUACUAUCAACACCAGAGCUAAAGUAACUGCUUGGGUUACUAUCAACACCAGAGCUAAUAAGUGUAGACUUACUUAAAAGUAUUUUUCUGUAUUUUUAUUGUUUAAAGUAUACACUUGAGACAUAUUGUAAAGUUUUUGUGAUUAGUUUUACUCUUGAAACCUUGAGAAUUUUAUAUAGAUUUUCUUCUUCUCACAUGUGUGUUAGUUAUUGUUUUAGCUUAUGAUCGUUUUAACUGUUUGGUUGAUUAGACUAUCUUGUAAAAAAAACUAAUAAUAUCAUACAAGUGAAACACACCAAUAAAAUGAAUACAACGUCUAUAGAUUAUGCAUCAAAUAAUUAUUUAUCAAUGAAUAUUUUAUAAUGAUAAAUUACUAUAAAGCGAAGAAAAUAGAAAACAUCUAGAGUGUAUUUGAUUAUUCAUAAUCUCGAUGCCUCAAAUGAAGUAUUAGCGAAGAGUAUCUGCAACAUAAAAUUAAAUUAUGAGAAAAACAUAAGAUAAGUAAAUUAAAUUACAUUUUAGUAGACUUCUUAUGAAGUCUGCGUAAAGUUUAUAGUUUAGUAGAAUUUAGUUGAAGUAUACUAGCCUUAAUUUUUAAGUAGACUUCAUUAGAAGUCUACACUAACGGAAAAUUUUCAGAUCUAAAAAUGUACAUCUAGAAAAUUUGAAAAUAGUUUGUUCUGGAAAAUAUUUGGAAAUAUUUUUUUUUAACCUAAUAGCAAAGCAAAAACAUAGAGUUUGAAUCUAUGAAUUUAGUUCAAUAUAAUAAACAAAAAUACAGAUUUAAAAUGAAUAGAUGUAAAUCUUACACUUUUUGGGAAGAUGAUUUGAAAACUUGUGAAGAGAAAACCUACAAAAUAAGAUAAAAUUAUGAGAAAAGUAUAAGAUAAAAAUUAAAAUUAUAUUUGAGUGCUUAAAAGUGAGGGCUACUAGAAUUCACUUGAAGUUUACUAGCCGUAACUUUUAAGUAGACUUCAUUUGAAGUCUCCUCUAUCAGAAAAGUUUUAGAUCUGAAAAUAUACAAAUUAAAAAACAUGAAAAUAAAUUAAAAUGUAAAAACCUUAGAAAAUAUAAUAUAUAUGACAAAAAUAAUAAUAAAAUAAAUACUUAGAGUUUGAAUAUGUAACUUUAUUUAAAUAUAAAUACAAAAAACAUGCUUAAAAUCUAUAGAUGAAAAUCUUACAUUUUGGAGAGGAGGAAAUAAAAAAAUGGAAAAAAAUACCUGAAAAAUAAGAUAAAAUUAUUAAAAAACAUA